CAGCAGCCACGGUAAUACGUAGGGUGCGAGCGUUAAUCGGAAUUACUGGGCGUAAAGCGUGCGCAGGCGGUUAUAUGAGACAGAUGUGAAAUCCCCGGGCUCAACCUGGGACCUGCAUUUGUGACUGUAUAGCUAGAGUACGGUAAAGGGGGAUGGAAUUCCGCGUGUAGCAGUGAAAUGCGUAGAUAUGCGGAGGAACACCGAUGGCGAAGGCAAUCCCCUGGACCUGUACUGACGCUCAUGCACGAAAGCGUGGGGAGCAAACAGGAUUAGAUACCCCCGUAGUCCCUGUCUCUUAUAU
Molecule: ribosomal RNA, 301 nt
Filed under: uncultured bacterium
Lineage: Bacteria
Description: partial 16S ribosomal RNA
Rfam family: Bacterial small subunit ribosomal RNA
Source: RNAcentral